This 208-nucleotide ribosomal RNA is filed under the name uncultured bacterium. RNAcentral describes it as "partial 16S ribosomal RNA". It matches the Rfam family "Bacterial small subunit ribosomal RNA", at positions 568 to 774 of the family's 1533-position model. The record is from RNAcentral.
CAUGUAGGCGGUUGUUUAAGUCUGAUGUGAAAGCCCUGGGCUCAACCCAGGAAGUGCAUUGGAUACUGGACAACUUGAGUACGGGAGAGGAAAGUGGAAUUUCGAGUGUAGGGGUGAAAUCCGUAGAUAUUCGAAGGAACACCAGUGGCGAAGGCGGCUUUCUGGACCGAUACUGACGCUGAGAUGCGAAAGCGGUGGGGAGCAAACA